RNAcentral lists this non-coding RNA (580 nucleotides) under Oryza sativa Japonica Group (Japanese rice). The record is from RNAcentral. Lineage: Eukaryota; Viridiplantae; Streptophyta; Magnoliopsida; Poales; Poaceae.
GCUACCAUGUAAACAUGGAAAUCAUGCAACCAUCAGAAUAAAAGAACCUAUCAGAAGCACAUAUCAAAUCAUGCAACCAUCAGAAUAAAAGAUUUUUACAGUUCUAUCACCAUAGUCAUGUCAUUAAAAAGAGACAUAUCCUACAUAAACAUAUAUAUCAAGCCUAAACAAGUAGUAAACAUGUUUACACCCCAUGAGCAGCCAAGAAGCAAGAAGCAAUAGCCAGUACUACUGCCUCAAGCCCUUGAACACAAAAAGGCGAGAACUGGAUGCAGAGGUUUAUCGAUCGAUUCCCGCGUUGUCGUUGGCUGCAACAAGGACCAAAAGGAAGAAAAAAAAAAGAACACCCUCUCAAAGAAAUUCGCCGCUCCUGGAUCAGCGCCACAAGGCAGGGAAGGGAUCGAUAAACCACUGCGCCCAGGCAUCACCACCAACCCCCCACCCCCACCUGCGAACAUGAUGGAUUAGCGCAAGAAACCGGAACAAAACAAGAACGGAACACAGAGCCACCUGCAAGAUCGGGCACGAACGAACACUCGUGGGUGUGAAUCUGUGUUUCUCGUGUGUGCAAUGAGGAAGG